UACGAAGGGGGCUAGCGUUGCUCGGAAUCACUGGGCGUAAAGCGCACGUAGGCGGAUCGCUAAGUCAGGGGUGAAAUCCUGGAGCUCAACUCCAGAACUGCCUUUGAUACUGAAGAUCUUGAGUGCGGGAGAGGUGAGUGGAACUGCGAGUGUAGAGGUGAAAUUCGUAGAUAUUCGCAAGAACACCAGUGGCGAAGGCGGCUCACUGGCCCGAUACUGACGCUGAGGCACGAAAGCGUGGGGAGCAAACAGG
Molecule: ribosomal RNA, 253 nt
Filed under: uncultured bacterium
Lineage: Bacteria
Description: partial 16S ribosomal RNA
Rfam family: Bacterial small subunit ribosomal RNA
Source: RNAcentral